This 77-nucleotide transfer RNA is filed under the name Leptospira borgpetersenii serovar Hardjo-bovis. RNAcentral describes it as "tRNA-Arg". It matches the Rfam family "tRNA". Rfam says of the family: Transfer RNA (tRNA) molecules are approximately 80 nucleotides in length. Their secondary structure includes four short double-helical elements and three loops (D, anti-codon, and T loops). Lineage: Bacteria; Pseudomonadati; Spirochaetota; Leptospiria; Leptospirales; Leptospiraceae. The record is from RNAcentral.
GCGCCCGUAGCUCAGUUGGAUAGAGCAACGGCCUUCUAAGCCGUGGGUCGCAGGUUCGAAUCCUGCAGGGCGCGCCA